Molecule: small RNA, 50 nt
Filed under: Escherichia coli
Lineage: Bacteria; Pseudomonadati; Pseudomonadota; Gammaproteobacteria; Enterobacterales; Enterobacteriaceae
Description: RNA55_SPACER2
Source: RNAcentral
AUAAACCGCAGCGGAAGCCAAAGGUGAUGCCGAACACGUUCGAGUUCCCC